CAGAAAGUAAAAUAAAGGUUGCAAAGCGGGGUGGAGAGCCUGCCCACAGAACUGCUGGCUCCUGGGCUGGAGGUGUGUAUAAACAGGAACCUGCUAUUGCAUUCUUCAGAGGUUAGCUAAGAGAUGCAGGUGCAGCCUACGUGGUACUUAUCUUCUUGGCUUUGACAAGUUAGAAAUAUUUAUCCUUUAGUACCUACUGUGUUGCCUACUCUAUGUAGGAGCCUAUUGAGUUUCUGGCCCUUUCUGUUGGUUGUUUUAAGUUAGUAUUUUGUUUGUUUGUUUGUUUGUUUGUUUGUUUAUUCUUCCUUAUCACCUCCUUGAUCUACAGCAGAAGUUCGAAAGUCCAGUGAGGUCUGUGAACCAUCCCGACUCGCCCUGUCCCACUGUCUGCCCUCUGAACAGGUCAAAUCAACUUUCCAGGCCUGCCUGUAACCAGCGUGGCCUUUGUAAGUUGGCGUAACAGAGCACAGGCUGAAAUAAUGUCAAGAUUCAAACCCAAGCCUCCAGGCAUGAGAUGUUUGUUAUGAAAUCCCACCCACCUCAGCCCUGAGCCCAGGUUGCAAAACAUGCCAACAGAGCCAGACAGCACUUUGAGGCAAGGACCAUCAGCUAUGCCGUGCCUACAGAUGGACUUCUCAAAAGCCACAGUGCAUCCCAGACUUUUAUCUGGCUCUCCUAAUGGCAUGUGCCCCUUCUCUCUAAGAAACAUCACUACCUGCUCCUCCUGGGUCACCUGUUCCUCCUGGGCGCAGAUGACUUGCCACACCUGCAGGUACAUGGGCAUCUGGCACACCAAAUUCACCGGUGAAAAUGAAACAGGAUGUUGGGGCACUGACUGCUGUGUGCCACCCUAUAGAGAAACCAUGACGACUAUAUGAUAUCUUAGAGAAGAUAAGUGCUGUGCACCAUCCUACAGAAGAUUACACCCAGAGUUUUGAUCACUACCAUAUAUCAGCUCCCAGGGUGUUGGGGUGUGAUCCAUGGUGUAUAAAAGACCAUGGCUACUUUUUACCUGAAAGUGACUGAAUAAGAAGACAAUAAAGAGACACUGCAUGCCGUGACCUUAAGUCUGGAUAGUGGAGUGAGUCUAAAUAAACUAUUGCAUCACAUACUACUAAACUCUCGUCAACUUCUAUCACCUUGCUUGGGUGACUUGCCAAUUAAGUGAGCUCUUGUGACUGUGGGGCCCACUGCUUUGAGUCACAGCAGGUGUCAGGUAUUGAGCGCUACUGUCACGGAGGCUGCUGUCACCGAGGCCAAGGGUGAGGCCCUCAAAGUUGCACAGACUUUCAACAGCUCCAAUAGGAAAGCUCAAGACUAUUCAUGCUGGCCCCUUGUUGACUCAUCUAAAGGAAAUGGUGCCUUGAGGACCACCCUUUCCCAGAGGAUGAAACCGGAGGGAUGAAAACCGAGGGCUUGAAGGUUCUGAGUGGCAAACCAGAGCACUUGCAAUUAAGGACUGCCAUGCCCACUCAACCUGGUGGGAAAUCUGGUCUCGUCCACUUCAAUACAGGUUGAGGGGUUUCUAAGAAAGGGAAAGUUGAUGGAGUUAUACAGUCUUUCGGGUGAGUCCAUCUUCAGCUCCCACAGUUGCACUAAAGAGGUUGCCACUGCACAUGGGGUCAAGAAGCACCUUAGUGAGUAGGUGACCCUGUUAAUGUGGACCCUGGAGUCGUUCGUGUAGGUUUACACUAUAGUCUGAAAGAUUAAGAUAGCAGAACAGCUUUAGAUCCUGAAAACAGAGCCCACUGAGUGUUUCAAGAUUUCCCACUAAACCUCAAUCAGUCCUUCAUCUUGUGGUCCAUGUUGCCUAUGUACAUGACAGGUCCAUGUUUGGGUAUAGCCAUUGUCACCAUCUAUCUCUUCCCAAACUGAUACUCUGCC
RNAcentral lists this long non-coding RNA (1884 nucleotides) under Cricetulus griseus (Chinese hamster). RNAcentral describes it as "lncRNA (ENSCGRG00015042778.1)". The record is from RNAcentral. Lineage: Eukaryota; Metazoa; Chordata; Mammalia; Rodentia; Cricetidae.